GACGAACGCUGGCGGCGUGCUUAACACAUGCAAGUCGAACGGAAAGGCCCUGCUUUUGUGGGGUGCUCGAGUGGCGAACGGGUGAGUAACACGUGAGUAACCUGCCCUUGACUUUGGGAUAACUUCAGGAAACUGGGGCUAAUACCGGAUAGGAGCUCCUGCUGCAUGGUGGGGGUUGGAAAGUUUCGGCGGUUGGGGAUGGACUCGCGGCUUAUCAGCUUGUUGGUGGGGUAGUGGCUUACCAAGGCUUUGACGGGUAGCCGGCCUGAGAGGGUGACCGGCCACGUUAGGACUGGGAUACGGCCCAGACUCCUACGGGAGGCAGCAGUGGGGAAUAGUGCACAAUGGGCGGAAGCCAGAUGCAGCAACGCCGCGUGCGGGAUGACGGCCUUCGGGUUGUAAACCGCUUUCGCCUGUGACGAGGCGUGAGUGACGGUAAUGGGUAAAGAAGCACCGGCUAACUACGUG
RNAcentral lists this ribosomal RNA (468 nucleotides) under uncultured bacterium. RNAcentral's name for it is "partial 16S ribosomal RNA". It matches the Rfam family "Bacterial small subunit ribosomal RNA", at positions 28 to 507 of the family's 1533-position model. The record is from RNAcentral.